This is a non-coding RNA of Neolamprologus brichardi, 530 nucleotides long. The record is from RefSeq and is a predicted model, not a curated record. Lineage: Eukaryota; Metazoa; Chordata; Actinopteri; Cichliformes; Cichlidae.
GGUUGUUAAAAAUGUGUUCAGGACAUAGCAGAGAUUGAGAAGACGCAGGAGGAGUUAAAGAUGAAAUUGCACGAACUGAGAAAACAUCGGGAGCGAGACCAGCAGCAGCUCCGUGACGAGAUAAGAAGCCAAGUUAAAGCCGCCGCGGAGCAGCUGCGCAUGGAUAUGCGGAGAGGAGAGGAGACACACACGGAUGUUCAGGAGGAUGUUCAGGAGGAUCUCUGCCAGGAGCUGCAGCUCUCCUCUCUGAUGGACAGCUGAGCCUCACACACCUGUCGCCUUUUUGUUUUAUCAGUAAAAACAAAUAUUGGUGUUUAUUAGUUACACAACCAAAUGAUACGACUACACACGUGUCUGUGUUUGUUUGCUUUGUUUUUCUUCAUCUUGUUAUUGUUGACAUUUAGAUUUUUCAGACCGUGUGUAAGACUUCACACAUGCAGGAGGGUCCUCUGUACACUACAGCCUCUAGAGCUGAUAUUUAUGGUUGUUGCUACGAAAUCAAUAAACAAAUAAAUACAAAUCAUAAGGUA